RNAcentral lists this ribosomal RNA (433 nucleotides) under uncultured bacterium. Its description in RNAcentral is "partial 16S ribosomal RNA". It matches the Rfam family "Bacterial small subunit ribosomal RNA", at positions 29 to 507 of the family's 1533-position model. The record is from RNAcentral.
AACGAACGCUGGCGGCAUGCCUAACACAUGCAAGUCGAACGAGACCUUCGGGUCUAGUGGCGCACGGGUGCGUAACGCGUGGGAACCUGCCCUUAGGUUCGGAAUAACUCUCCGAAAGGGGUGCUAAUACCGGAUAAUGUCUUCGGACCAAAGAUUUAUCGCCCUUGGAUGGGCCCGCGUUGGAUUAGCUAGUUGGUAGGGUAAAAGCCUACCAAGGCGACGAUCCAUAGCUGGUCUGAGAGGAUGAUCAGCCACACUGGGACUGAGACACGGCCCAGACUCCUACGGGAGGCAGCAGUGGGGAAUAGUGGACAAUGGGCGGAGGCCUGAUCCAGCAAGGCCGCGUGAGUGAUGAAGGCCUUAGGGUUGUAAAGCUCUUUUACCCGGGAUGAUAAUGACGGUACCGGGAGAAUAAGCUCCGGCUAACUCCGUG